This 484-nucleotide ribosomal RNA is filed under the name uncultured bacterium. RNAcentral describes it as "partial 16S ribosomal RNA". It matches the Rfam family "Bacterial small subunit ribosomal RNA", at positions 30 to 507 of the family's 1533-position model. The record is from RNAcentral.
AUUGAACGCUGGCGGCAGGCCUAACACAUGCAAGUCGAGCGGAUGAAGGGAGCUUGCUCCUGGAUUCAGCGGCGGACGGGUGAGUAAUGCCUAGGAAUCUGCCUGGUAGUGGGGGAUAACGUCCGGAAACGGGCGCUAAUACCGCAUACGUCCUGAGGGAGAAAGUGGGGGAUCUUCGGACCUCACGCUAUCAGAUGAGCCUAGGUCGGAUUAGCUAGUUGGUGGGGUAAAUGCCUACGAAGGCGACGAUGCGUAACUGGUCUGAGAGGAUGAUCAGUCAGACGGGAACUGAGAAACGGCCCCGACUCCGACAGGAAGCCGCGGUGGGGAAUAUUAGGGGAGGGGGGAAAGGGUGAUACAGGCAUGCCGGGUGUGUGAUGAAGGUGUUAUGAUGGUAAAGCGAUUUAAGUCGGAAGGAAGGGAAGUACGUUUAUCCGUGGUGGUAUUGACGUUACCAACAGAAUAAGCACCGGCUAACUUCGUG